RNAcentral lists this long non-coding RNA (316 nucleotides) under Mytilus galloprovincialis (Mediterranean mussel). The record is from RNAcentral. Lineage: Eukaryota; Metazoa; Mollusca; Bivalvia; Mytilida; Mytilidae.
CAAGAUACAAAGCGAAAUUUUAUUUAUUCCCCAUUUCAUCCUGACAAAAUAGUAUGGUGCUUCAAAUAUUUGUGCAAAUUAAAAUCAGUAUGUCUAAUUAAUAUGAUCUACCGUUCUGUUAAUCAAUUGAAAAAGAUCGGUAAUUGCCAUUCAGUAUCUCAUAUCUAAUUAAUUGUAUUCUAUGUUUACAUAUAAAAAGUACCGGUGAUUUUAGUAAACAAAAUAUGUAUAUUAUCUUAUUUUUUAUGAUAUGAAUCCGUGUGCGCCAGACAGUGCUUUGUUCGAACAAGCGUCAAAUUUGUACAUGCAAUAAAGA